RNAcentral lists this long non-coding RNA (405 nucleotides) under Phasianus colchicus (ring-necked pheasant). RNAcentral describes it as "lncRNA (ENSPCLG00000014013.1)". The record is from RNAcentral. Lineage: Eukaryota; Metazoa; Chordata; Aves; Galliformes; Phasianidae.
AAUGGACAGACGUAAGGCAGCAAGACUGACUGUCCAUCUUGCUCUCUUGGAGUGCUUGUGGAAGUUGUUUUUGAAGUUGAGAAACUAUAUCUCUACUUCAAGUGGGAUGGUGAGAACUGAUGAAGCAAAGCUUGGUGGUCUCCCUACAGGGCAUUCAUGGAUGCUAUUGCAGGUCAGGUGUGGGACUGCAGAGUCUUUUGAGACAUCUUCAUGGUCCACUGCAAGCCAGGAAAGUAUGGACAGGUGUAGUCUGGACAGUCAACAUCUCACCAGAAUAAGAGGAGACAAUGAACUCCUAGCUUUGACAAGUAAUAUUUCUGAAGUUGCACUCCAGGUAUCUUUGACCUUCACAAUAACCACUGUUCAUCUAUGAUAAAUAAAAGUAAAUUAUAGGUGAGAAUUUCA